RNAcentral lists this long non-coding RNA (1316 nucleotides) under Homo sapiens (human). RNAcentral's name for it is "HSALNT0310392". Lineage: Eukaryota; Metazoa; Chordata; Mammalia; Primates; Hominidae. The record is from RNAcentral.
UGUGGACCACACAGAGCUGGGUCUGAGGCUCAGCUUCACAAGCUGUGUAUGGUAGGUCCAUGGUCCUUUUUCUUGGCCUCAGGGCCCAUGUCGGUAACACAAGGGUUCAUAAAGACAGGGGCCAUUGUGUCAGAUGCUUUUCUAAGUGCUACAGAUGCUUACUCAUUUAAUCCUCACAACAAUAAUAGGUCCUAGUAGGUAGGAACUAUUAUUAUCCCUAUUUUACAGGUGAGAAAAUGAAGGCACAGAGAGAUUGAGUAACUUGCACAAGGUCACAUGUAGGAGAACUGAGCAUCCACCCUACUCAGCCUGGCCCCAAGGUCCAAGGUAACUUAAACCCAAUUAUAAAUGGCUUUGGCUAUAAAGUGUUCUUGAAUGAAAACGUUUAGGAAGUAGGCCUGGAUUCAGAUGCUUCAGAGGCUCAAAGGUUUUCUAAUUGUUUAUGGAGAAGAUUGAUCUUCACAAGCUAGUUUUUUCAUAGGCAAAAGCAAAAGUCUCUUCCUGUGUUAUUAAGUGAAAAUGGCUGAUUAUAAAAAGGGGCUUACAAACAAUAUUUAACAAAUCUUCAUCAAGUCCCUACUCUGUGGCAGGCCCUGGGUCAGGAGGUUGCCGAUUCCAGGAAGAAUCAGACCUUAUCCCUGCCCUUGAGUCUCAAGAAGAGGAAAGGAAAACAAAUAAGCAUAGUACAGUGUGAAAAGUGGGACUGUGGUCAAAUUUCAGUCUGCAAACUCAGAAUGGAUGAAAUAUGAAAGACUGACAACAUCAAGUUGUCAAGUAGGACAGGAUGUGGAACCACUGGAACUCAUACGUGACUGAUGGGAAUGCAAAAUGAUACCGAUCCCUUGGAAAACUCCUUGGCAACUUUAAUAAACAUAAAUCUACCCUAUGAUCCAGAAAUUCCACUCUGAGUCACGUCUCCAAGAGCAAUGAAAAUAUAUACCCACAAAAGACUGCACAUAAAUCAGAACAGCAUUGUUGAUAAUAGCCCAAACUGGAAACAACCUAAAUAUUCACCAAUAGAAGCCUGAAUAAAUUCAUACUGUGGGAUACUCUACAGCAAUGAGGUAGAUGAACUAUUACUGCCUACAACAACAUGAAAGAAAGUAAAAGUCACUACUUUGAUAAUUAUAAACACAAAAAAGUAAACAUAUCAUUCUAUUCAUAUGAAGAGUUAUCUAAAUAAUUAGUAAAAUUGAUCUAUGAUUUUAGAAGUGGUACCUCUGGAGGAGAAGGAGGGGUACUGUUACUGACUGAGAAGGGAGUUCUGGAAAAAUUCUAUACUUUGAUCUUUGGGAUGGUUACACAGAUGUAUAGAC